RNAcentral lists this ribosomal RNA (465 nucleotides) under uncultured bacterium. Its description in RNAcentral is "partial 16S ribosomal RNA". It matches the Rfam family "Bacterial small subunit ribosomal RNA", at positions 28 to 507 of the family's 1533-position model. The record is from RNAcentral.
GACGAACGCUGGCGGCGUGCUUAACACAUGCAAGUCGAACGGAAAGGCCCCUUUGGGGGUACUCGAGUGGCGAACGGGUGCGUAACACGUGCGUAACCUGCCCUUGACUUCGGGAUAACUUCAGGAAACUGGGGCUAAUACCGGAUAGGAAUCCUUGCCGCAUGGUGGGGGUUGGAAAGCUUCGGCGGUUUUGGAUGGACUCGCGGCUUAUCAGCUUGUUGGUGGGGUAGUGGCUUACCAAGGCUUUGACGGGUAGCCGGCCUGAGAGGGCGACCGGCCACAUUGGGACUGAGAUACGGCCCAGACUCCGACGGGAGGCAGCAGUGGGGAAGAUUGCACAAUGGGCGGAAGCCUGAUGCAGCAACGCCGCGUGCGGGAGGACGGCCUUCGGGUUGUAAGCCGCUUUCAGCAGGGGCGAAGCUUGUGGUGACGGUACCUGCAGAAGAAGCACCGGCUAACUACGUG